Molecule: ribosomal RNA, 1272 nt
Filed under: metagenome
Description: bacterial SSU rRNA
Rfam family: Bacterial small subunit ribosomal RNA
Source: RNAcentral
UUGUAGAUUGUAAUUUCAGUGGCGAACGGGUGAGUAAUGAGUACGAACGUACUCCGAAGCGGACCAUAGCCUACCGAAAGGUAGGGUAAUAGUCCAUAGUCUCGCAAGAGUAAAGGCGCAAGCCACUUCGGAAGCGGCGUACUUGCUACCAGCUAGUUGGUGGGGUAAUGGCCUACCAAGGCGAUGGCGGCUACCGGCUCUUAGCGGAGAGUCCGGCACAAUGGGACUGAGACACGGCCCAUACACCUACGGGUGGCAGCAGUUAGGAAUCUUGCGCAAUGGACGAAAGUCUGACGCAGCGAUACCGCGUGAAGGAUGAAGGCCCUCGGGUCGCAAACUUCUUUUAUUGAAUACAACUUUUCGAUGAAUAAGCAACUACUAACUACGUGCCAGCAGUCGCGGUAAUACGUAGGUUGCAAGCGUUACCCGGUUUUUAUUGGGCGUAAAGAGUCUGUAGGCGGCCUUAUAAGUCUUGUUUCAAAGACUCCGACUCAAUCGGAGAAAGGGGCAGGAUACUGUUAGGCUAGAGUUAUAUCGGGGUUACUGGAAUUUGCAGUGUAGGGGUAAAAUCCGUGGAUACUGCAAAGAACACCAAGCGCGAAGGCGGGUAACCAGAUAUUUUCUGACGCUCAGAGACGAAAGCUAGGGUAGCCAAUCAGAUUAGAGACCUGAGUAGUCCUAGCUGUAAACAUUGUCCGUUAAUUCUCUGGUUUUUAACUAGGGGAUGCAAGCUAACGCGUUAAACAGACCGCCUGGGGAGUAUAGCCGCAAGGCCGAAACUCAAACGAAUUGGCGGGGAGGCGCACAACCAGUGGAGCAUGUGGUUCAAUUCGAUACGAAGCGAUGAACCUUACCUGGGUUUGAAAUGUACCUGCAAGCCUGAGAGAUCAGGAAGCCUUCGAGGGUGGUACACAGCUGUUGCAUGGCUGUCAUCAGCUCGUGACGUGAGUUGUUCUCUUAAGUGAGGUAACGAGCGCAACCCCCAUCCGGUGUUACUGUGUCACCGGAGACUGCCUAGCAUUAUUUUGUUAGGAGGAAGGAGGGGACGAUGUCAAGUCAGCAUGAUGCUUAUGUCCAGGGCUACACACAUCCUACAAUGGGGUGUACAGAGGGUUGCAAUACCGCAAGGUGGAGCUAAUCCUUAAAACAUCCCUCAGUUGGGAUUGCAGGCUGAAACUCGCCUGCAUGAACCCGGAAUUGGUAGUAAUCGCGGAUCAGCAGCCCGCGGUGAAUACGUUCUCGCCUCUUGCACACACUGCCCGUCAAAUCAGC